CCUACGGGAGGCAGCAGUGAGGAAUAUUGGUCAAUGGGCGCGAGCCUGAACCAGCCAAGUCGCGUGAGGGAAGACGGUCCUAUGGAUUGUAAACCUCUUUUGUCGGGGAGCAAAAGACGCCACGCGUGGCGUUCCGAGAGUACCCGACGAAAAAGCAUCGGCUAACUCCGUGCCAGCAGCAGCGGUAAUACGGGGGAUGCGAGCGGUAUCCGGAUUUAUUGGGUUUAACGGGUGCGCAGGCGGAAGAUCAAGUCAGCGGUAAAAUUGAGAGGCUCAGCCUCUUCGAGCCGUUGAAACUGGUUGUCUUGAGUGAGCGAGAGGUAUGCGGAAUGCGUGGUGUAGCGGUGAAAUGCAUAGAGAUCACGCAGAACUCCGAUUGCGAAGGCAGCAUACCGGCGCUCAACUGACGCUCAGGCACGAAAGUGUGGGUAUCGAACAGGAUUAGAUACCCGGGUAGUC
Molecule: ribosomal RNA, 459 nt
Filed under: uncultured bacterium
Lineage: Bacteria
Description: partial 16S ribosomal RNA
Rfam family: Bacterial small subunit ribosomal RNA
Source: RNAcentral